AGAGUUUGGUCAGGGCUCAGAUUGAACGCUGGCGGCAGGCCUAACACAUGCAAGUCGAGCGGUAGCACAGAGAGCUUGCUCUCGGGUGACGAGCGGCGGACGGGUGAGUAAUGUCUGGGAAACUGCCUGAUGGAGGGGGAUAACUACUGGAAACGGUAGCUAAUACCGCAUAACGUCGCAAGACCAAAGUGGGGGACCUUCGGGCCUCAUGCCAUCAGAUGUGCCCAGAUGGGAUUAGCUUGUAGGUGAGGUAAUGGCUCACCUAGGCGACGAUCCCUAGCUGGUCUGAGAGGAUGACCAGCCACACUGGAACUGAGACACGGUCCAGACUCCUACGGGAGGCAGCAGUGGGGAAUAUUGCACAAUGGGCGCAAGCCUGAUGCAGCCAUGCCGCGUGUAUGAAGAAGGCCUUCGGGUUGUAAAGUACUUUCAGCGAGGAGGAAGGCGAUAAGGUUAAUAACCUUAUCGAUUGACGUUACUCGCAGAAGAAGCACCGGCUAACUCCGUGCCAGCAGCCGCGGUAAUACGGAGGGUGCAAGCGUUAAUCGGAAUUACUGGGCGUAAAGCGCACGCAGGCGGUCUGUCA
RNAcentral lists this ribosomal RNA (586 nucleotides) under uncultured bacterium. Its description in RNAcentral is "bacterial SSU rRNA". It matches the Rfam family "Bacterial small subunit ribosomal RNA", at positions 8 to 585 of the family's 1533-position model. The record is from RNAcentral.